RNAcentral lists this non-coding RNA (2219 nucleotides) under Brassica napus (rape). Its description in RNAcentral is "Eukaryotic small subunit ribosomal RNA". It matches the Rfam family "Eukaryotic small subunit ribosomal RNA", at positions 4 to 605 of the family's 1831-position model. The record is from Rfam by way of RNAcentral. Lineage: Eukaryota; Viridiplantae; Streptophyta; Magnoliopsida; Brassicales; Brassicaceae.
CUGGUUGAUCCUGCCAGUAGUCAUAUGCUUGUCUCAAAGAUUAAGCCAUGCAAGUGUAAGUAUGAACAAAUUCAGACUGUGAAACUGCGAAUGGCUCAUUAAAUCAGUUAUAGUUUGUUUGAUGGUAACUACUACUCGGAUAACCGUAGUAAUUUUAGAGCUAAUACGUGCAACAAACCCCGACUUCUGGAAGGGAUGCAUUUAUUGGAUAAAAGGUCGACACGGGCUCUGUGAAGGGACCGACCCACUUUUUCGUACCAUCAGUACGAGCCUGGCUCGACUUCCUCGAUCAGACCUGGGCCGUUUUCCUAUUUUUCUUUACUUAGGAUUAUUUCCGAGUUUUAGUUCGUUUUCAGACAAUGAAGCAAGCAAAAGAAGAUUUGAAUAGAUUAACUGAGGUUCGAGUUAACAAGUGAGUUUGCUAUAAGCUAUUACAAGUUAAACUCGUCCUACAUCUAACCAAAUCCCCCAUCCUUCCUUCCUGCCUUAGCCCCACGGUCAAGCUAUGUCUUUACCCUUACGGGUCUGGUCCUGAUCUGCAUCCAAAACAAGGAGGCAUAAGCAACAGUUUGCUUAGUGAUGCGGUCAUUCCGUCUCACUCGGCCAUGUAAAGCAAUCGAGUCAAUCAGUCAAUAAACGGACAUGCUUAUCAUCAGUCAGUUACUUAGCUGACCCAAUCGUCCUAAGCCAACGCACCAUCAGAUUCAGUCAAGCCCUAGCAGGCCAUUACGGCUCUAGGCGCAUGAUCUGAUCCAGAUGCGUCGAUGGAAGGAACCGACUGUUCGGACCAAGCCAGAACUUAGCAGAUAAUUCGAAUUAGACAAGCAAUCAGUACAUAGAACAUUCAUAUCAUUCAGACUACGAUUCAGUACGAUAGGCUACGGUCACGCACUGACCUUUUUCUUAGAGUCGGUAUGUUCUGUUUGAUUCGGUCUCUUCUGACACCUCUUGAGCGGUUUCUGUCGGAUCUUCGAACGUUCAGACAGUCAGAAUCACCCCACAGACGAUCGUUCUUGACUCGGACUUGAUCGAUCCAGCCAAAUAUCAAAAGUUCUCUCUUAAUCGGAAUUUUCUCUCUCUAAGUUUCUCUCUGGUUCUUUCUUUCUGUUUCCGUACAGAACAAUGGCGAAAUAAGACCAAGGAGACGAUUAAAAUGGGCAGUUGGGCGGUUUAGGCCCGAGAAACUACAAACAUAACCGUUCCUGCUUAUUUUACACGCGGCUCUUCAUCCGUAACCGCCACCCCGCGCUCCAAAGCGUGCCAGCGCGAGUUUUUCCCCUUUUCGGACUUUAACUGUUCCCGCCAGUUUUACUUAGACAAAACUCGAGCUAGAGCUGACUGAUGCAGUCGACAACUCUAACCGCCUUGUCUGAAUCAGGUCAUCUCAGCUUAGCCGACAGUCUUAACCGCCUUGUCUGAUUUCUGACAAUCGCUGUCUAGCCGACCAGCUCAACCGUCAUGUCCAAAUCCGACAACACUUGUCCGGAUCCGACCAUUGCUGUCUGAAAAGACCACUUUGCCUGGAUUUUCAUCGAACUGGCUGAACACUACUGAGUUCCGCAAAUCGAACGGCCUGGUCCAAUAACCCGAGCGUAAGACAGACUGAUGGAGCUUUGUCUGGCUCAAAAACAGAUCAGAUCCUAGCUUUAUUCGGUACAUGGUUCCGCUCCAUCCACUACUAAUCAGACUUCCGAACCAAGAACUCCCAUCCACCCACGGUAAGUCCUUACAACUUUGGCCAGCUCUUUCUAGCAUCAUCAAACCCAUUCAGUACGUUCCAAAAGUCCGACCAGUCAGUCCUCAGAUCAUCCUAUCAUCGAUCUUCGGAACACGGUCGCUACAUUCUGCCCGUUGCUCUGAUGAUUCAUGAUAACUCGACGGAUCGCAUGGCCGUAGUGCUGGCAACACAUCAUUCAAAUUUCUGCCCUAUCAACUUUCGAUGGUAGGAUAGUGGCCUACCAUGGUGGUAACGGGUGAUGGAGAAUUAGGGUUCGAUUCCGGAGAGGGAUCCUGAGAAACGGCUACAACAUCCAAGGAAGGCAGCAGGCGCACAAAUUACCCAAUCCUGACACGGGGAGGUAGUGACAAUAAAUAACAAUACCGGGAUCUUUGAGUCUUGUAAUUGGAAUGAGUACAAUCUAAAUCCCUUAACGAGGAUCCAUUGGAGGGCAAGUCUGGUGCCACCAGCCGCGGUAACUCCAGCUCCAAUAGCGUAUAUU